This is a small nuclear RNA of Physella acuta, 106 nucleotides long. NCBI's taxonomy places the organism in Eukaryota, Metazoa, Mollusca, Gastropoda, Physidae. The record is from RefSeq and is a predicted model, not a curated record.
AAUCUGUUCACGCAGUUCAAACAAUAAAAUUGGAACGAUACAGAGAAGAUUAGCAUGGUCUACGCGCAGACACGACUCACAGAAUCGUGAAGCGUUUUCAAAUAAA